Long non-coding RNA from Osmia bicornis bicornis, 3199 nucleotides. RefSeq lists it as uncharacterized. The transcript is spliced from 3 exons. The record is from RefSeq and is a predicted model, not a curated record. NCBI's taxonomy places the organism in Eukaryota, Metazoa, Arthropoda, Insecta, Hymenoptera, Megachilidae.
GCUCGGUGCACAGGCGACGAACGGUGCCAGGAAACUGCUCCAAAGAGCUACCCUGCAACGAGCAGCGGUGCACCACGAAUUGUAUUGUGGAAACCUGUGACAACAAAAGAACAAUGCGUUUGAUACAAGCUUUUUAUUCGCUAAUUUAGAACUGUCACGAGGGAACGGUUAUGGAAAUUUUUGUGGAUAUCUUUGUAACUUGGCUCCCCUGUAAUUCUUUGUAAGCCAUGGAAGACUAGCGGAUGGUAUUAACUCACUGCCAAAGGAAAGGGAGAACUUUUAAACGAGAUGAGUAUACAUUUUGUGAAAUCAUCAUCCACAGGGAAUAUUCCCCUCAAAAUUCCACCUUUAUUUUACCUUCCACCUGAUUCACUUUUCUGUAUUAAUCAUUAUUACGUUUUUGCAUAUCAAAUGAGCAAUUUUGGGACAUGUAAAGUUUAACACGAUUUCCUGACAUAAAAGUAGCAUGAUAUAACAUUUCUAUUAUAUCAAUUUAAAGUAUGAAAAUUGAAAUUUAUGAAUAGCUAUACAUAUAAAUGCUUUAUUAAUAUUAUUAAUACAAAUUGACUGACUAACGAAUGAAUAAUGUGUUUCAGAUUGGACAUUCCGUUACAAUAAAAUGAUGUCAAAAAGAUGCAAUAAUAUGAUAUUUGAAGAAUCUAUGAACGUUUAAUCGGUCAUUUAAUAGUUCUCCAACUGUAUGCAUCGAACAAACGGACGUUUCAAACAACUACCGAAUAUGAGAUCGUAAAAAACAUGCCACAGAGUGGAAUGUUGACACACGAGGAAAAAGAGUAUCGUAAAUUGAAACUACGCGUUAAAUGAAAUUUUUUUGCUUUCAAAAAUCGAACGUCAUACCUCUUCAACGGCUAUGUAUAAUGUUACAUGUUUCAUCGUGUUCCCGGACAAGUAUUGGACUGCAAUUGUUUUAAAAAAAUUAGUCGAGUUGAGAGUUAUUUUUCGCUGAUUUAAUUUGAAAAUCGUAAACACCCGGUCCUUAAACAAUUCCGCGAUUUUUCCAAGAGAAAAGAGGGAAAUGGAGCGUCAAAGCUGCGCCACCAGACGUUAUGCAGAUGCCUUAUUAUUUGUUCGAGCAAAUAGUCCGGUUGCUAGUGAAAUCACGGAUGUAACUCGUUAAAGAAAAAUAUUCUUAUAUCAGAGAUAAUGAUCCUUCUUAUUUUUAUGAAUUUAUUCUCGACAAUUCAAGUACUUAUCGUACGAAUCGUUGUCGCGGUAUAACAUAGAAUUUUCAAAUAAUAAUCUGUUAGUUUGCAAAUUAAUAGAUCUUAAACUUAGGAACUUAAAGUUGAUAGCUAAUGAGCUUUUAAUUACGUUUUUAUCACUUUCACUAAGUUCCCACGCUUCGUCAGAUACCACGCUAUCUAAAACAUAGAAAUGAUAAUCCACAUGAAAUUUAUGAUUCAACUUAUCAGGUGUUAGCCCAGUUCUGAAAGUAGGCUACAGAUGUAUUAGAUGUUAGGAUAUACUAUAGACAGAAAGAUUGGAGUUUGUGCACAUCUUUUAAACUGGAUUUCAUACUAAAUCCUCUUUUCCCUUGAAACAGUUUGCUCUACUAACUUUGUCAAAGUACAGGGACAAAAAUUUAAGCGAUAUUAAACGAGACGUUUCUUCAAGUACCAUUGUUCGUUCUUAGAUCGAUGGAAUGGGUAUUAAUAGAUUCUUUACUAUCGUUAUCGAUUCAAUAUAUACAAUUGCUCGUUAAGCAUUAUUAAAGCGUUAUUAAAAAAUUUUGCACAUGGAAGUCUUCUGUAUCAUCUCUGAAUGGCAAUUGCUAACAUUUUUAAUUUGAUUUUACAAUAGCAAAAUUAUACACCUAUGGUUUACUAAAAUCACGUGCAAGAGAUUGUCGGAUUUAUGUUAUAGUUCAUUUCUAGGCUAAGCAUCGGUUUGUCUCACAUUAAAGUACCAUGUAAUCUCGUAUCUCGUAAUCGACUCAGUAUUUGAUAUGGUUUCACCCUCGCAACCUGUACUAUUCCGUUUUCCACGUUAAUCUUCCAUUGUUAAACGCAAUUACAAUUUUAUCCCAGGAGAUUAAUUAAUCGUCCUUUCGCUAUAAUUUCCUUUCAGCCUUGAUUAUUUGUGAAUACUCGGAUAAGUCUGUUGAAACAGCAUGUAAAUUUGCAUCAUCUAUGUAAUUCUCAAUUUUCUCUGCAAGUAGGAAAAUAUCAUUUCAGGAUCGAGCUACAUAAGGUAGUCCUCUGAAGCGUAUUCUGAUGUCACUCUAGCAAAUAAUGUUCUCGUAGGAGGUUCCAACAGUGACGUUAAUUAGCUACCUUAUUUAGCUUCGCGUAAUAUUUAAUGUUAGGUAAUAUUACAGGAUACAUUAGUCACCAAAAGUGUGUAAUUACAUUCGAUACAAUUUCAUAACAUAAAAGUAUCAGAAAAUUGUAGUUAUUCCACAUCAGUUUAAAGUUUAAAGUUCGAUGAGAACAGCUGCAUAAGCAUUUUAUUAAUAUUCAUUAUACAAAAGGGCAGGUUGUUAGAACAAACAAUGCUUCAACUAAUUUGCAAUUUACCAUUGUACAUCGGCGAAUAUUCAAUUUUUAAUUCCAAAUCGAUAAUGGGUUUUUGAUAUAGUAUAAAAAAUUUGCAAUUUUUAUACUUAAAUGAAGAACCAAAAAUUUGUUUAGUAUGACUUUAUACGAAAGUUGUUUUAAAAAUAUUUCUUUACUUUCAAUAUAGAAUAAGGUUGCUUUCCCCAAGUUAUAUAUAAAACACAUAAAUAAGGAGGUAUGCCAAUUUGUUUGUUAUUUUUCAGAAAUAAGAUCGACAGGAGAUUCCGUUUGCUGAAGCGUUUAUUUUGCUCAAAGUUUCCGCGAGCAAAUGCCUCUUAAAUUCAAGAAGCUAUUGUCGAAGAUGUAAUGGCGAUGACUAGUCUGCAGAUGUUUCUCUCCAGUUUCAGAAAGCAAAUCAGGGACGAUUGGACAAACUCUUUGAAAACUUUUCAGUUUUCUGCAUGGAUGCGCUUAAAACAGAUCACGAGUUUGCAUUUCGUUUCAUCGAGGGACCAGAAACGAUUAAACACGAGGUGAAUAAACAGAACUGGAUCAGAGAGGGACAUUAAUGGAACAGAGGUUUUCGUGGGAAUGAAAUUCCUCAGAAAAGAAAAUCGCAGUAGAACAAAUAUUGGGUUGUUGAAUAAUUUCUAUUGAUUGAUAAAAACGUAACGCUAAUUGAA